GAUCAUGGCUCAGGACGAACGCUGGCGGCGUGCUUAACACAUGCAAGUCGAACGGAGUGCCCUUGAAAGAGGCUUCGGCCAAUGGAUGGGAACACUUAGUGGCGGACUGGUGAGUAACGCGUGAGGAACCUGCCUUUCAGAGGGGGACAACAGUUGGAAACGACUGCUAAUACCGCAUGACACAUCGAGGGGGCAUCCCUUUGAUGUCAAAGAUUUAUCGCUGAAAGAUGG
This 231-nucleotide ribosomal RNA is filed under the name uncultured bacterium. RNAcentral describes it as "partial 16S ribosomal RNA". It matches the Rfam family "Bacterial small subunit ribosomal RNA", at positions 15 to 228 of the family's 1533-position model. The record is from RNAcentral.